ACCUUCGGGCCUCUUGCCAUCAGAUGUGCCCAGAUGGGAUUAGCUUGUUGGUGAGGUAACGGCUCACCAAGGCGACGAUCCCUAGCUGGUCUGAGAGGAUGACCAGCCACACUGGAACUGAGACACGGUCCAGACUCCUACGGGAGGCAGCAGUGGGGAAUAUUGCACAAUGGGCGCAAGCCUGAUGCAGCCAUGCCGCGUGUAUGAAGAAGGCCUUCGGGUUGUAAAGUACUUUCAGCGGGGAGGAAGGUGUUGUGGUUAAUAACCGCAGCAAUUGACGUUACCCGCAGAAGAAGCACCGGCUAACUCCGUGCCAGCAGCCGCGGUAAUACGGAGGGUGCAAGCGUUAAUCGGAAUUACUGGGCGUAAAGCGCACGCAGGCGGUCUGUCAAGUCGGAUGUGAAAUCCCCGGGCUCAACCUGGGAACUGCAUUCGAAACUGGCAGGCUUGAGUCUUGUAGAGGGGGGUAGAAUUCCAGGUGUAGCGGUGAAAUGC
Molecule: ribosomal RNA, 495 nt
Filed under: Salmonella enterica
Lineage: Bacteria; Pseudomonadati; Pseudomonadota; Gammaproteobacteria; Enterobacterales; Enterobacteriaceae
Also listed under: 1 other name
Description: bacterial SSU rRNA
Rfam family: Bacterial small subunit ribosomal RNA
Source: RNAcentral